GCUUCGCUGACGAGUGCGGACGGGUGAGUAAUGUCUGGGAAACUGCCUGAUGGAGGGGGAUAACUACUGGAAACGGUAGCUAAUACCGCAUAAUGUCGCAAGACCAAAGAGGGGGACCUUCGGGCCUCUUGCCAUCGGAUGUGCCCAGAUGGGAUUAGCUAGUAGGUGGGGUAACGGCUCACCUAGGCGACGAUCCCUAGCUGGUCUGAGAGGAUGACCAGCCACACUGGAACUGAGACACGGUCCAGACUCCUACGGGAGGCAGCAGUGGGGAAUACUGCACAAUGGGCGCAAGCCUGAUGCAGCCAUGCCGCGUGUAUGAAGAAGGCCUUCGGGUUGUAAAGUACUUUCAGCGGGGAGGAAGGCGAUAAGGUUAAUAACCUUGUCGAUUGACGUUACCCGCAGAAGAAGCACCGGCUAACUCCGUGCCAGCAGCCGCGGUAAUACGGAGGGUGCAAGCGUUAAUCGGAAUUACUGGGCGUAAAGCGCACGCAGGCGGUCUGUCAAGUCGGAUGUGAAAUCCCCGGGCUCAACCUGGGAACUGCAUUCGAAACUGGCAGGCUAGAGUCUUGUAGAGGGGGGUAGAAUUCCAGGUGUAGCGGUGAAAUGCGUAGAGAUCUGGAGGAAUACCGGUGGCGAAGGCGGCCCCCUGGACAAAGACUGACGC
Molecule: ribosomal RNA, 667 nt
Filed under: uncultured Pseudomonadota bacterium
Lineage: Bacteria; Pseudomonadati; Pseudomonadota
Description: bacterial SSU rRNA
Rfam family: Bacterial small subunit ribosomal RNA
Source: RNAcentral